Molecule: ribosomal RNA, 293 nt
Filed under: uncultured bacterium
Lineage: Bacteria
Also listed under: 1 other name
Description: partial 16S ribosomal RNA
Source: RNAcentral
GGACUACUGGGGUAUCUAAUCCUGUUUGCUACCCACGCUUUCGAAUCUCAGUGUCAAUAUUAUGCCAGGAAGCUGCCUUCGCCAUCGGUAUUCCUCCAGAUCUCUACGCAUUUCACCGCUACACCUGGAAUUCUACUUCCCUCUCACAUAUUCUAGCACCACCAGUAUCACAUGCAGUUCCCAGGUUAAGCCCGGGGAUUUCACAUGUGACUUAAUGAGCCACCUACACUCGCUUUACGCCCAGUAAUUCCGAUUAACGCUCGCACCCUCUGUAUUACCGCGGCUGCUGGCAC